Molecule: long non-coding RNA, 557 nt
Organism: Salvia miltiorrhiza (redroot sage)
Lineage: Eukaryota; Viridiplantae; Streptophyta; Magnoliopsida; Lamiales; Lamiaceae
Exons: 2
Source: RefSeq, a predicted model, not a curated record
AUACGCGGAAAAUACGUUUUCUGGGCCCUUUUUUAAAUUAAUUUUUUUAAUAAAAAAUACGUGAAAAAUACGUUGAUGAUACGGUCAAAUACGUAUUUGACAAGUAAAAAUACGUUUCAAAAGAAUUUGAACAUGAACCCUAAUCGCGCCUCCACAAUUUCGCCCCUCUUCUCCUCUGACCCACCCCGCUCACUGUCGCCCCUGCGCAACCCCACUCGCCGAUCGCCGUCGCGCUGCCCUGCACCACGCCGCCGUCGCGCCGCCUUGCACGCUUGGAGUCGCCGCGCCACCCCAAUAAGUGAAGCCAUGAAUAUUACAAAUUCUAGUUCUACAUCUUCUUCUACAACAUCCCCUGCCAUUGGUGAUUCACGAAAAUCAUUGUGGAGAUAUGUUAAACGAUGAAGAUAUGAGGGAAGAGGAAGAGGAGGAGGAGAAUAAGGAUGAUGAGUGAAGAUGUCUAACAUUUUAGUGUGUUUUAUUAAGUAUUAUUAACUAUUAAGACUAUGUUUUAUUUGCUAUUUGGUUAACUUUAUUAUGAAUUAGUAGUGUUUUGCUUA